This 1243-nucleotide ribosomal RNA is filed under the name metagenome. RNAcentral's name for it is "bacterial LSU rRNA". It matches the Rfam family "Bacterial large subunit ribosomal RNA", at positions 1564 to 2815 of the family's 2925-position model. The record is from RNAcentral.
UGAAUACGAGAUGCUACGGCGUCGAAGCAGUCUAUGUCAUACUUCCAAGAAAAGCUUGCACUGUCAUAAACAAAUAAUGCCUGUACCAUAACCGACACAGGUGGGUAGGUAGAGUAUACUAAGGGGCGCGAGAUAACUCUCUCUAAGGAACUCGGCAAAAUGACUCCGUAACUUCGGGAGAAGGAGUGCCUUAUUUUAUAAGGUUGCAAUAACAAGAUCCAAGCAACUGUUUACCAAAAACACAGGUCUCCGCUAAGUCGUAAGACGAUGUAUGGGGGCUGACGCCUGCCCAGUGCCAGAAGGUUAAAGAAGUUGGUUAGCAUCCGCGAAGCUGAUAACUGAAGCCCUGGUGAACGGCGGCCGUAACUAUAACGGUCCUAAGGUAGCGAAAUUCCUUGUCGGGUAAGUUCCGACCCGCACGAAAGGCGUAAUGAUUUGGAUACUGUCUCAGAGAGGGGCUCGGUGAAAUAGACUUGUCUGUGAAGAUGCGGACUACCUGCACCAGGACAGAAAGACCCUAUGAAGCUUUACUGUAACUUGAAAUUGAAAUUGGACUUUACUUGCGCAGUAUAGGUGGGAGGCGUUGAGAAUAUUCUUGCGGGAAUGUUGGAGCCAUCAGUGAGAUACCACUCUUGUAAUGUUAGAUUUCUAACUUUGUAUCAUUAUCUGGUCAAAGGACAGUUUCAGGCGGGCAGUUUGACUGGGGCGGUCGCCUCCCAAACGGUAACGGAGGCGCACAAAGGUUUCCUCUGAACGGGUAGAAAUCGUAUCUAGAGUGUAAAGGCAUAAGGAAGCUUGACUGUGAGACCUACAAGUCGAGCAGGGACGAAAGUCGGUCUUAGUGAUCUGACGGUGCUGAGUGGAAAGGCCGUCACUCAACGGAUAAAAGUUACUCUAAGGAUAACAGGCUGAUCUCCCCCAAGAGUUCACAUCGACGGGGAGGUUUGGCACCUCGAUGUCGGCUCAUCGCAUCCUGGGGCGGUAGUACGUCCCAAGGGUUGGGCUGUUCGCCCAUGAAAGCGGUACGCGAGCUGGGUUCAGAACGUCGUGAGACAGUUCGGUCCAUAUCCGGUGUAGGCGUUAGAAUAUUGAGAGGAGCCUUCUUUAGUACGAGAGGACCGAGAAGGACAUACCUCUGGUGUACCAGUUAUCGUGCCAACGGUAAACGCUGGGUAGCUAUGUAUGGAGUGGAUAACCGCUGAAAGCAUCUAAGUGGGAAGCCCACCUCAAGAUAAGUAUUCAC